Non-coding RNA from Peromyscus maniculatus bairdii (prairie deer mouse), 572 nucleotides. NCBI's taxonomy places the organism in Eukaryota, Metazoa, Chordata, Mammalia, Rodentia, Cricetidae. The record is from RefSeq and is a predicted model, not a curated record.
CUUCACAGAGGAGAGGGCAGACUCCGAGACACCUGUGUCCCAUCUAGUGGGUCCUGCUGUUCUUCUAGGGGCCCACAGUGUGUCCUCGCCAGGGAGGUGCUGGAAGUGGUAUGGGGAGCCUGGCUGAGCAUAGCCCCGGGCCUGAGCUGGUGGUAAACAGCACAACUGACUGAGAGCCAAGGUUUCCCAGAGCAGGACGGUCUCCGUUCCCUCAACUAAAAAACACAAGGAGAAGAGCCUGGGCUUGUGUGUAGCCCAUGCCCGCAACUCUACUGUUCUAGCUAGCGGCCGGGGCAGGAGGACCGUGAAGUCCAUCUCCAAAGAGGGAAAGGAAGAUGGCAAGAAUCUCGCAGUGACUAAAACAAGCAAAAUCUCCUGCCCUCAGGGAGCAAGGAACCAAAGUGGAGCAAGGCAGACAGUAAACAAACACAUCUUUAAAAAAAAAUAAAAACUGUGUCAGGAAGUGAAGUGCUGUGUGUGUGAAUGACCCAGCUAAGAAGAUCAAUGAACGAAAUCGUUUAAAGGUACCACGUGCCUGCAGGAGCCCUUGGAGGCCAGAAAAGGAUAUAGGA